This is a long non-coding RNA of Zalophus californianus (California sea lion), 611 nucleotides long. RefSeq lists it as uncharacterized. The record is from RefSeq and is a predicted model, not a curated record. The transcript is spliced from 3 exons. Lineage: Eukaryota; Metazoa; Chordata; Mammalia; Carnivora; Otariidae.
CAGAUGCUGUAAGCGGUGUGCAUUGGAUUAUGUCCUCCAAAAAUAGAAGACGACUAAGGAGUAGAAAAACCCAUCAACACGCACCUAAAGUUUUUGAUGUAUUGUGAGGACGCCUGAGCUCCCAUUCUGAACUUCUAAACUUCUAAACAAGUACAGUUUCUGCCUUGUAACUGAGGACUGCAUAUGGUGGAUUGACACAGAUCAUGGCCUCAUCAGCCAUUCUCCAGAUCAUGCUCUCCCUGGAAGCUGCCUCAUCCUGAGAGAGAGAAUCGAACUAGCCCAUCUCAUCUUCUCUCACCUAGAUGUGUACUGGAUCACUGGAUUAUUGAGGACUUCUUAGUCUUCACUGGAUUUUAUUCAUUUUGCAUCUUCAGGAGGGAAUGUGGAAUGCAGUAGUAGUUCUCAAAACUGAACUUUGACCACUGAUUUCCUUUUUUUCACUGAGUAUGUAUUAGCUUUUCCCAGAACUCAUUUUGUAGACUAAUAUAGGAGAUGCUGCCUUGGGAACUUUUUAUGUUUUAUUUUUUAUUUAUUUUUAUUUAUUUAUUUUUAAGUAACCUUUACCCCCCAACACAGGGCUCGAACUCACAACCCUGAGAUCAAGAGUGCAC